ACGGAAGGCAGCAGUCGGGAAUAUUGCGCAAUGGAGGAAACUCUGACGCAGUGACGCCGCGUAUAGGAAGAAGGUUUUCGGAUUGUAAACUAUUGUCUGCAGGGAAGAAGAAAGACCGUACCUGCAAAGAAAGCUCCGGCUAACUACGUGCCAGCAGCCGCGGUAAUACGUAGGGAGCAAGCGUUAUCCGGAUUUAUUGGGUGUAAAGGGUGCGUAGACGGGAAAUUAAGUUAGUUGUGAAAUCCCUCGGCUCAACUGAGGACGUGCAACUAAAACUGGUUUUCUUGAGUGCAGGAGAGGAAAGUGGAAUUCCUAGUGUAGCGGUGAAAUGCGUAGAUAUUAGGAGGAACACCAGUGGCGAAGGCGGCUUUCUGGACGAUAACUGACGCUGAGGCUCGAAAGCGUGGGGAGCAAACAGGAUUAGAUACCCUGGUA
This is a ribosomal RNA of 435 nucleotides. It matches the Rfam family "Bacterial small subunit ribosomal RNA", at positions 341 to 792 of the family's 1533-position model.